RNAcentral lists this ribosomal RNA (253 nucleotides) under uncultured bacterium. Its description in RNAcentral is "partial 16S ribosomal RNA". It matches the Rfam family "Bacterial small subunit ribosomal RNA", at positions 524 to 776 of the family's 1533-position model. The record is from RNAcentral.
UACGUAGGGGGCUAGCGUUGUCCGGAAUCAUUGGGCGUAAAGAGCGUGUAGGCGGCCCGGUAAGUCCGCUGUCAAAGUCAAAGGCUCAACCUUUGAAUGUCAGUGGAUACUGCCGGGCUAGAGUCCGGAAGAGGCGAGUGGAACUCCUGGUGUAGCGGUGGAAUGCGCAGAUAUCAGGAAGAACACCAACGGCGAAGGCAGCUCGCUAGGACGGUACUGACGCUGAGACGCGAAAGCGUGGGGAGCGAACAGG